Molecule: ribosomal RNA, 973 nt
Filed under: uncultured Bacillus sp.
Lineage: Bacteria; Bacillati; Bacillota; Bacilli; Caryophanales; Bacillaceae
Description: bacterial SSU rRNA
Rfam family: Bacterial small subunit ribosomal RNA
Source: RNAcentral
AGAGUUUGAUCAUGGCUCAGGACGAACGCUGGCGGCGUGCCUAAUACAUGCAAGUCGAGCGGAAGUUUGAGAGCUUGCUCUCAAACUUUAGCGGCGGACGGGUGAGUAACACGUGGGCAACCUGCCCUGUAGACUGGGAUAACUUCGGGAAACCGAAGCUAAUACCGGAUAAUCUUUUUUGUCACCUGACAGAAAAGUAAAAGUUGGGUUUACCUAACACUACGGGAUGGGCCCGCGGCGCAUUAGCUAGUUGGUAAGGUAAUGGCUUACCAAGGCGACGAUGCGUAGCCGACCUGAGAGGGUGAUCGGCCACACUGGGACUGAGACACGGCCCAGACUCCUACGGGAGGCAGCAGUAGGGAAUCUUCCGCAAUGGACGAAAGUCUGACGGAGCAACGCCACGUGAACGAUGAAGGCCUUCGGGUCGUAAAGUUCUGUUGUUAGGGAAGAACAAGUACCGUUCAAAUAGGGCGGUACCUUGACGGUACCUAACCAGAAAGCCACGGCUAACUACGUGCCAGCAGCCGCGGUAAUACGUAGGUGGCAAGCGUUGUCCGGAAUUAUUGGGCGUAAAGCGCGCGCAGGCGGUCCUUUAAGUCUGAUGUGAAAUCUCGUGGCUCAACCACGAGCGGCCAUUGGAAACUGGGGGACUUGAGUACAGAAGAGGAGAGUGGAAUUCCAUGUGUAGCGGUGAAAUGCGUAGAUAUAUGGAGGAACACCAGUGGCGAAGGCGACUCUCUGGUCUGUAACUGACGCUGAGGCGCGAAAGCGUGGGGAGCAAACAGGAUUAGAUACCCUGGUAGUCCACGCCGUAAACGAUGAGUGCUAGGUGUUAGGGGUUUCGAUGCCCUUAGUGCCGAAGUUAACACAUUAAGCACUCCGUCUGGGGAGUACGACCGCAAGGUUGAAACUCAAGGAAUUGACGGGGGGCCCGCACUAGCAGUGGAGCAUGGUGGUUUAAUUCGAAGCAACG